GAUUAAGUUAUUAAGGGCGCACGGUGGAUGCCUUGGCACUAGAAGCCGAUGAAGGACGUUACUAACGACGAUAUGCUUUGGGGAGCUGUAAGUAAGCUUUGAUCCAGAGAUUUCCGAAUGGGGAAACCCAGCAUGAGUUAUGUCAUGUUAUCGAUAUGUGAAUACAUAGCAUAUCAGAAGGCACACCCGGAGAACUGAAACAUCUUAGUACCCGGAGGAAGAGAAAGAAAAUUCGAUUCCCUUAGUAGCGGCGAGCGAAACGGGAAGAGCCCAAACCAACAAGCUUGCUUGUUGGGGUUGUAGGACACUCUAUACGGAGUUACAAAGGACGACAUUAGACGAAUCAUCUGGAAAGAUGAAUCAAAGAAGGUAAUAAUCCUGUAGUCGAAAAUGUUGUCUCUCUUGAGUGGAUCCUGAGUACGACGGAGCACGUGAAAUUCCGUCGGAAUCUGGGAGGACCAUCUCCUAAGGCUAAAUACUCUCUAGUGACCGAUAGUGAACCAGUACCGUGAGGGAAAGGUGAAAAGCACCCCGGAAGGGGAGUGAAAUAGAACCUGAAACCGUGUGCUUACAAGUAGUCAGAGCCCGUUAAUGGGUGAUGGCGUGCCUUUUGUAGAAUGAACCGGCGAGUUACGAUUUGAUGCAAGGUUAAGCAGUAAAUGUGAAGCCGUAGCGAAAGCGAGUCUGAAUAGGGCGUUUAGUAUUUGGUCGUAGACCCGAAACCAGGUGAUCUACCCUUGGUCAGGUUGAAGUUCAGGUAACACUGAAUGGAGGACCGAACCGACUUACGUUGAAAAGUGAGCGGAUGAACUGAGGGUAGCGGAGAAAUUCCAAUCGAACCUGGAGAUAGCUGGUUCUCUCCGAAAUAGCUUUAGGGCUAGCCUCAAGUGAUGAUUAUUGGAGGUAGAGCACUGUUUGGACGAGGGGCCCCUCUCGGGUUACCGAAUUCAGACAAACUCCGAAUGCCAAUUAAUUUAACUUGGGAGUCAGAACAUGGGUGAUAAGGUCCGUGUUCGAAAGGGAAACAGCCCAGACCACCAGCUAAGGUCCCAAAAUAUAUGUUAAGUGGAAAAGGAUGUGGCGUUGCCCAGACAACUAGGAUGUUGGCUUAGAAGCAGCCAUCAUUUAAAGAGUGCGUAAUAGCUCACUAGUCGAGUGACACUGCGCCGAAAAUGUACCGGGGCUAAACAUAUUACCGAAGCUGUGGAUUGUCCUUUGGACAAUGGUAGGAGAGCGUUCUAAGGGCGUUGAAGCAUGAUCGUAAGGACAUGUGGAGCGCUUAGAAGUGAGAAUGCCGGUGUGAGUAGCGAAAGACGGGUGAGAAUCCCGUCCACCGAUUGACUAAGGUUUCCAGAGGAAGGCUCGUCCGCUCUGGGUUAGUCGGGUCCUAAGCUGAGGCCGACAGGCGUAGGCGAUGGAUAACAGGUUGAUAUUCCUGUACCACCUAUAAUCGUUUUAAUCGAUGGGGGGACGCAGUAGGAUAGGCGAAGCGUGCGAUUGGAUUGCACGUCUAAGCAGUAAGGCUGAGUAUUAGGCAAAUCCGGUACUCGUUAAGGCUGAGCUGUGAUGGGGAGAAGACAUUGUGUCUUCGAGUCGUUGAUUUCACACUGCCGAGAAAAGCCUCUAGAUAGAAAAUAGGUGCCCGUACCGCAAACCGACACAGGUAGUCAAGAUGAGAAUUCUAAGGUGAGCGAGCGAACUCUCGUUAAGGAACUCGGCAAAAUGACCCCGUAACUUCGGGAGAAGGGGUGCUCUUUAGGGUUAACGCCCAGAAGAGCCGCAGUGAAUAGGCCCAAGCGACUGUUUAUCAAAAACACAGGUCUCUGCUAAACCGUAAGGUGAUGUAUAGGGGCUGACGCCUGCCCGGUGCUGGAAGGUUAAGAGGAGUGGUUAGCUUCUGCGAAGCUACGAAUCGAAGCCCCAGUAAACGGCGGCCGUAACUAUAACGGUCCUAAGGUAGCGAAAUUCCUUGUCGGGUAAGUUCCGACCCGCACGAAAGGCGUAACGAUUUGGGCACUGUCUCAACGAGAGACUCGGUGAAAUCAUAGUACCUGUGAAGAUGCAGGUUACCCGCGACAGGACGGAAAGACCCCGUGGAGCUUUACUGUAGCCUGAUAUUGAAAUUCGGCACAGCUUGUACAGGAUAGGUAGGAGCCUUUGAAACGUGAGCGCUAGCUUACGUGGAGGCGCUGGUGGGAUACUACCCUAGCUGUGUUGGCUUUCUAACCCGCACCACUUAUCGUGGUGGGAGACAGUGUCAGGCGGGCAGUUUGACUGGGGCGGUCGCCUCCUAAAAGGUAACGGAGGCGCUCAAAGGUUCCCUCAGAAUGGUUGGAAAUCAUUCAUAGAGUGUAAAGGCAUAAGGGAGCUUGACUGCGAGACCUACAAGUCGAGCAGGGUCGAAAGACGGACUUAGUGAUCCGGUGGUUCCGCAUGGAAGGGCCAUCGCUCAACGGAUAAAAGCUACCCCGGGGAUAACAGGCUUAUCUCCCCCAAGAGUUCACAUCGACGGGGAGGUUUGGCACCUCGAUGUCGGCUCAUCGCAUCCUGGGGCUGUAGUCGGUCCCAAGGGUUGGGCUGUUCGCCCAUUAAAGCGGUACGCGAGCUGGGUUCAGAACGUCGUGAGACAGUUCGGUCCCUAUCCGUCGUGGGCGUAGGAAAUUUGAGAGGAGCUGUCCUUAGUACGAGAGGACCGGGAUGGACAUACCUCUGGUGUACCAGUUGUCGUGCCAACGGCAUAGCUGGGUAGCUAUGUGUGGACGGGAUAAGUGCUGAAAGCAUCUAAGCAUGAAGCCCCCCUCAAGAUGAGAUUUCCCAACUUCGGUUAUAAGAUCCCUCAAAGAUGAUGAGGUUAAUAGGUUCGAGGUGGAAGCAUGGUGACAUGUGGAGCUGACGAAUACUAAUCGAUCGAAGACUUAAUCAA
RNAcentral lists this ribosomal RNA (2923 nucleotides) under Staphylococcus aureus. Its description in RNAcentral is "23S ribosomal RNA". It matches the Rfam family "Bacterial large subunit ribosomal RNA". Lineage: Bacteria; Bacillati; Bacillota; Bacilli; Caryophanales; Staphylococcaceae. The record is from RNAcentral.